Long non-coding RNA from Peromyscus californicus insignis, 1533 nucleotides. RefSeq lists it as uncharacterized. Lineage: Eukaryota; Metazoa; Chordata; Mammalia; Rodentia; Cricetidae. The record is from RefSeq and is a predicted model, not a curated record. The transcript is spliced from 3 exons.
GAACCAGACAACAAUGAAAACAGAUGCCCCAGGUGAUCCAACUUCUUAGAGUACCUCUGUUGCAGUUUCCUCAGAUUUCUGCAUUCAGAACAAUUUCAAGGCUGCAAAGGCAUGGUUAAUAUUUGAACAUGACGCAUCUGGAUUAAAACAUCAUGGAGCCAGGUUCCUGGAAUUUUUCAGUUCUAAAUGCAAGUCACUGCUUGAAGGUAAUUGUGUUCAUAGUUCAGAUUUUGGAAAUCAAGUGAAAAGAGGCUUCAAGUGGAUGGUCCAAGUUCAUCAGAGCUCAGCUUCUGGUUCAGUGCUGGACAGAGGAGUCCUAAUUUAGGUCUUUGAAGACCUUGUUAGGUGACUUUAGUUUGACUGUCUUUUAGUGCUCUUACAUCUCAAUGUGCUUACUUUUGCAUCUUAGACAGCAGAUAUUAACAUGAAGGCAUGGGCAAUGGAAGUUGCUGUUGUGCAGUAUUCUAUAUUAACAUUUAGCAAGUCAGUAGUUGGCCCAAAUUGGCCAUUUACAGCAAUGCCGUGGACAGAGUUCAAGGUUUAGAAAUGCAACAGCAGCAACUUUCAAACAGACCUUGCUCAUUCAGUCACCAGGCAGAAUUUAAUCCAAUAGGACUAUUUAAUGGAAAUAUUAAUUAUUCAGUAUCCCCUUCCCUUUAUAAUUUACCUCCAAUGAACAGUAGGGACUUAAGAAUACUAUCUUAGCAAACUUGUCCCAUUUGGAUGAGCUUGCAAAGUGACACCUGAGGUGAUAACCAUUAGUGUCGUUGGCCACACAUUCCUGUUUUUUCUUGUGCACACAUGCAUUCCCCUGCCUUUUUGAAAUUCAGAAUGAUCAUAUGACUUCUAAUGACCCAUUGACAUGGUAAGAAGUAACACUGGCUACUUUUAGGUAAGAGAACUGAGAAGUAGGACUGUCAAUAGGAAUUAGUGAUGCUUCACAUGAAGGCUGGAACAAAGAUGGUCCCUAUUCAAAGCAUAAUGGACAGGUUAUGUGAGUGAGAAGGAAGGCCCUGGUGGUGUGCACUAUUGGGAGCUAGGGGUAGAUUGCUACAGUAGCAUAGCCGAGUCUAUCCUGCCUCACAGCCUGUAUAGGCUCUUUGAAGUUAUGGUGAUCUCUGAUGGUAAUUCCCCAGUUCUGUGUGCAGCAUGCUGGAGAUGUGCUAAGACUCUCCACACAGUCACUGCUAAGUUCUCAGAGUCACUAUGUAGUCAUACUCUUGUCUCAAUUUAAAAUUAACUGAAGAAAGAUUAGGUGUAGUAGGUAGCCAUUCCAGCUUUGACCUGGAAGCUCCAACCCCUAUUGAGGCUUUGGUAACGGUCACACCUACAAGGCAGGGCUGAGAGAGGAUGCUGAAGACUUGGGAUCUGGAUGCGCAGGCUCUCUUGGUUCCUGGACCCUGGAUGCUGGAGGUAGACCGAGCAGAGUUCUCCAGAGAACACCGUCAUACUGCGCCACACCUUUCCCAGACCCUGUAAACUAUCCCUUCACUUGUAAGUUACCCCACAAAAUAAACCUCCCUUUUAACUACA